UGAAUCAUCCAGCCAGAUCAGUGCUGGAUAUGUACCUGUGAUGGAUUGCCACACAGCUCACAUUGCUUGCAAGUUUGCUGAGCUGAAGGAGAAGAUUGAUUGGAAGAGGGUC
Non-coding RNA from Callorhinus ursinus (northern fur seal), 112 nucleotides. NCBI's taxonomy places the organism in Eukaryota, Metazoa, Chordata, Mammalia, Carnivora, Otariidae. The record is from RefSeq and is a predicted model, not a curated record.